GUUAGGGUGGCAGAGACAGGUUAAUGCAAAAGACCUAAACCCUUUAAACGGAAGUUCAAAUCUUUCCCCUAACU
RNAcentral lists this transfer RNA (74 nucleotides) under Pronothobranchius seymouri. RNAcentral describes it as "tRNA-Leu". It matches the Rfam family "tRNA". Rfam says of the family: Transfer RNA (tRNA) molecules are approximately 80 nucleotides in length. The record is from RNAcentral. Lineage: Eukaryota; Metazoa; Chordata; Actinopteri; Cyprinodontiformes; Nothobranchiidae.